This 22-nucleotide microRNA is filed under the name Plutella xylostella (diamondback moth). RNAcentral's name for it is "pxy-miR-8492". The record is from miRBase by way of RNAcentral. Lineage: Eukaryota; Metazoa; Arthropoda; Insecta; Lepidoptera; Plutellidae.
AACACACGCGGGGGUGUCCAGU